CUCCUGUUCCCAAAUGGACUGUGAGGAGACACAGGACCAUCAUCUUUCAUUCAAGUUGGGGGAGGGGCGAAAAGCCCUCUAUCCCUAACCUUGGAUAGUUCCCAGCCCUGGUGGCCUUGGAUUCUAGUCCAUCAACUGUUUCAGCACCUGGAAGGCCAGCAGCUCCUGCCGAAGAUCAUCCCCGCACUUGACAAUGACUGACAGGAGCCGCCAAUUGGGGAGAUGGCCAUAGGGAGAGCCCUCUCUGAUCCGCCUGCAUAAAGAGAAGCAAAAGGUGUCAAGAGGUGAUGACAGAGACACAGCUUCUACCAAAAAUCCAAAUCCAACUCCCCACAAGGCAAGGACUGGGGCUGCCUGGGGGCAUGAUGGAUUUGGGGGGAGCCCAGUGGACACUGGGAUGGUGCAGUGAGUUCCUGCAGUUGUCUCCAAGCUUUGAGAGGUCUAGAGACACCUGCCUCCCACCCAACUCACCGCACUUUCUCCUGCCAGGGCUCUUUGAGAGCAACUGCAGAAGGGUCUUCUGGGUCUCGUUUGAAGGCUGUGGGGGUGUGAGCCAGCUGCUCCGAAAGGCGCCGUCUAGCAGGAAGAAAUGGUAUCAUUUGCUUGGAGGAGUUACCCCAGAGCCUCAUGUCCCUGUCUGUGGCAGCACUGCCUGCACUAUUUCCUUGAUUCUAGGCACAGAGAGAAACCUGGGCUGAGAGACUCGUGGAGGACACAUGCCACUGAUACCUUUUUGCUAACCUGAUGGUUUGGAAUCAUGAUGAUCACCAGGCCCUCCCAUUCCUCUACCAAGAUUCUGGUUCAAAACAGCUGUGGCUCCAGCAUCUGCAUUUUCAACAAGAUCUCUACCGAUUCUGACAUGUGAAUCCUUGGACCCACUCUGAGAAACGCUGCUUUAAUUCCUCCCUCUGCUGCUUUCAUCUCUUUGGAGUCCUUUUAACAUUUAAUUUCUUUCUGUAGUAGCCUAGUAAUUUCUCCACCUGCCCCUUCACUGCCUCAAGUUUGGUGGCCUCAGAACAAGGACAGAGUAAAGAGAGAGGAAAGGGAAAGACACAGGCUGACAGAAGAGGAGAAAGAGACAGGCAGAGCCUUAAAGAGGGAUGAAAAAUGAGAGGCAGUGUGGUCUGGCCAUACCGGAUGUCCCCUGCUGCAAUGAACACAGGCUCCUUGCUCUCCUGGCUGGUGAUGCUGUCCACAGAGAACUGGGAGAUGUUGUCACAGCUGUUGGUGUGCACUUCAGGGAGCUGGGGAGAGCAGGGGAUGGUAGGUCAGAAGCACUAGGCACAGGUCUCGCUUCUUUCACCUCCUCCACAGAUCACCUGGAGUGUUUUCUAUCUGCAGAUUAUGAUCAUCCCCCUCUUCCUAAGUCUGCUC
This is a long non-coding RNA of Myotis lucifugus (little brown bat), 1374 nucleotides long. RefSeq lists it as uncharacterized. The transcript has 2 exons. The record is from RefSeq and is a predicted model, not a curated record. NCBI's taxonomy places the organism in Eukaryota, Metazoa, Chordata, Mammalia, Chiroptera, Vespertilionidae.